GAUGAACGCUGGCGGCGUGCCUAAUACAUGCAAGUCGAGCGAACAGACGAGGAGCUUGCUCCUCUGACGUUAGCGGCGGACGGGUGAGUAACACGUGGAUAACCUACCUAUAAGACUGGGAUAACUUCGGGAAACCGGAGCUAAUACCGGAUAAUAUAUUGAACCGCAUGGUUCAAUAGUGAAAGACGGUUUUGCUGUCACUUAUAGAUGGAUCCGCGCCGCAUUAGCUAGUUGGUAAGGUAACGGCUUACCAAGGCAACGAUGCGUAGCCGACCUGAGAGGGUGAUCGGCCACACUGGAACUGAGACACGGUCCAGACUCCUACGGGAGGCAGCAGUAGGGAAUCUUCCGCGAAGGGCGAAAGCUUGACGGAGCAACGCCGCGUGAGUGAUGAAGGUCUUCGGAUCGUAAAACUCUGUUAUUAGGGAAGAACAAAUGUGUAAGUAACUAUGCACGUCUUGACGGUACCUAAUCAGAAAGCCACGGCUAACUACGUG
Molecule: ribosomal RNA, 497 nt
Filed under: uncultured bacterium
Lineage: Bacteria
Description: partial 16S ribosomal RNA
Rfam family: Bacterial small subunit ribosomal RNA
Source: RNAcentral